RNAcentral lists this ribosomal RNA (508 nucleotides) under uncultured bacterium. RNAcentral's name for it is "partial 16S ribosomal RNA". It matches the Rfam family "Bacterial small subunit ribosomal RNA", at positions 28 to 523 of the family's 1533-position model. The record is from RNAcentral.
GAUGAACGCUAGCUACAGGCUUAACACAUGCAAGUCGAGGGGCAGCAUGAAAGGAACUUCGGUUCUUUUUGAUGGCGACCGGCGCACGGGUGCGUAACGCGUAUCGAACCUGCCUCAUACUCGGGGAUAGCCUUGCGAAAGUAAGAUUAAUACCCGGCGGUCUCGGAUGGCCGCAUGACUGUCCGAGUGAAGAUUUAGCGGUAUGAGAUGGCGGUGCGUCCCAUUAGCUAGUUGGUGAGGUAACGGCUCACCAAGGCAUCGAGGGGUAGGGGUUCUGAGAGGAAGGUCCCCCACAUUGGAACUGAGACGCGGUCCAAACUCCUACGGGAGGCAGCAGUGAGGAAUAUUGGUCAAUGGACGAAAGUCUGAACCAGCCAAGUAGCGUGCAGGACGACGGCCCUCUGGGUUGUAAACUGCUUUUAGUUGGGAAUAAAAAGAGGGACGUGUCCCUUAUUGUAUGUACCAUCAGAAAAAGGACCGGCUAAUUCCGUGCCAGCCGCCGCCGUAA